This 836-nucleotide ribosomal RNA is filed under the name uncultured bacterium. RNAcentral describes it as "bacterial SSU rRNA". It matches the Rfam family "Bacterial small subunit ribosomal RNA", at positions 9 to 893 of the family's 1533-position model. The record is from RNAcentral.
GAGUUUGAUCCUGGCUCAGAACGUACGCUGGCGGCACGCCUAACACAUGCAAGUCGAACGAAGUAGCAAUACUUAGUGGCAGACGGGUGAGUAACAUGUGGGUAUCUGCCCUUUGGCCUGGAAUAACACGAGGAAACUUGUGCUAAUACCGGAUAAGUCUUUACGGAGAAAGCUUUAUGCACCAUUGGAUGAGCCCGCACUUGAUUAGUUUGUUGGUAGGGUAAUGGCCUACCAAGACUGUGAUCAAUAGCUGAUUUGAGAGGAUGAUCAGCCACAUUGGGACUGAGACACGGCCCAAACUCCUACGGGAGGCAGCAGUGGGGAAUCUUGCACAAUGGAGGAAACUCUGAUGCAGCGAUGCCGCGUGAGUGAAGAAGGCCCUUGGGUUGUAAAGCUCUUUCGUCGGGGAAGAAAAUGACUGUACCCGAAUAAGAAGGUCCGGCUAACUUCGUGCCAGCAGCCGCGGUAAUACGAAGGGACCUAGCGUAGUUCGGAAUUACUGGGCUUAAAGAGUUCGUAGGUGGUUGAAAAAGUUGGUGGUGAAAUCCCAGAGCUUAACUCUGGAACUGCCAUCAAAACUUUUCAGCUAGAGUUUGAUAGAGGAAAGCAGAAUUUCUAGUGUAGAGGUGAAAUUCGUAGAUAUUAGAAAGAAUACCAAUUGCGAAGGCAGCUUUCUGGAUCAUUACUGACACUGAGGAACGAAAGCAUGGGUAGCGAAGAGGAUUAGAUACCCUCGUAGUCCAUGCCGUAAACGAUGUGUGUUAGACGUUGGAAAUUUAUUUUCAGUGUCGCAGCGAAAGCGAUAAACACACCGCCUGGGGAGUACGACCGCAAGG